This 257-nucleotide long non-coding RNA is filed under the name Lathyrus oleraceus (garden pea). RNAcentral describes it as "Pisum sativum (pea) long non-coding RNA (PSAT_LNC000628)". The record is from RNAcentral. Lineage: Eukaryota; Viridiplantae; Streptophyta; Magnoliopsida; Fabales; Fabaceae.
UUAAUUCCACUAUCUCCAAGCUUUCAUAAUCUCAAGUUCCCAAACAGAUUCAUCAUUACACUUUUCAGAAAACGUCAUGUCUAGCCCACGUUUUAGACCUUACCCCCAUCAUUUCCUAAACCUAACAUCAUGGCCUUUUUCAACUUCCACCUCUUCAUCACCACCGUUGUGAUUCAGCCACGUGUCCCACGACUAUCCUCAAAAACUCAAACGUUUUCAUCAUCUUCCCUUAUAAAUACUCACAACUUAUUUUCUCU